Non-coding RNA from Pelobates cultripes (western spadefoot toad), 348 nucleotides. The record is from the annotation of a GenBank genome assembly. NCBI's taxonomy places the organism in Eukaryota, Metazoa, Chordata, Amphibia, Anura, Pelobatidae.
CAGGAAAUGAGGAAAUAUGCACAGCAGAAUCGAUUUUCAUCAUCAGAGAAGGUAUAUAAUCUCAAAGACCCCAAGCAGCAAGCAUUCACUUUUGAGAAAGCUUCGGCGAAACGCGUCAAGUGAGGAAGAAUUUUGGACUUUUAUACAGGACUGGUUUUAUAGUUUAUUAUUCACUUUUCACUUAUUGUAUUAAAGUAUAUAUAUUUUUUAAACUAUCCAGUCAUUCCUUUUGUCCUCCUUCCUAUCCAAUACUGCUUUGCUGCUAUACCUGGGUCCACUAUAUCCCAAGGUGGGGAUUAUUCCACCUGAAAUUCUCCAAACUAGAGCAGGUCGUUGCUCUAGUAUAUA